Molecule: long non-coding RNA, 199 nt
Filed under: Gossypium raimondii (Peruvian cotton)
Lineage: Eukaryota; Viridiplantae; Streptophyta; Magnoliopsida; Malvales; Malvaceae
Description: long non-coding RNA (GRAI_LNC008861)
Source: RNAcentral
AUUGUUUUUUUUUAAUUUUGUUUAUUUAUUUGUCUAUCUUAUUUCUAUACAAUUGUCGUAUUUAUUAUUGUUAUUUGUUAUUGCGACAUUUAUACACGCAUUCAAUAUAACAUUACAUCUUUUUUUUACUCGAUUUUAAAAUUUUCAAAAUUGAGAUAAUGCUUGUAUUUAGGAUUUUCAAGGAAAUUGAGCCCUAACG